This is a long non-coding RNA of Mus musculus (house mouse), 1093 nucleotides long. RefSeq annotates it as predicted gene, 33089. NCBI's taxonomy places the organism in Eukaryota, Metazoa, Chordata, Mammalia, Rodentia, Muridae. The transcript is spliced from 3 exons. The record is from RefSeq and is a predicted model, not a curated record.
AGGGCCACUGUGGACAGCUCAGCCUGGAUCGGAUCACCUCGAGAGUCUAGCGCCCUCUGGUGUGGUUUGGACAUGUUAGAUAUAGCCUGGGCCUUUGCACAGCUUCAUGGCUGAGCCACACCCUGGCCUCCUUGACCUUGUUUUGGGGGACAAAGUCUGGCUAAGUAGUCCAGGCUAGCCCUGACCCAGGUUCCUCCCCCAACCCCCGACUCCUGUGCCCCAAGUGAAGGCUCUAGAAGCAGGAAGGCCACGUGAAGGCCCAGACUCUUCCUUAGAGGUUUUGUGGUGUUAGGGAGAGCGGUUGAGGCUCUCCCAGACGAAUCCUCCCACGAAGCAGCUUUAUCCGGUCCCUGGGCCUCCUGGGAGCCAAGGAGUUAAAGCCAGAAUUCCCAUCCAGACCCGGAGAAAGGAGCCCAGGCCCUAGCUAUGACCCUGCUGCUGACCUCUGCUGGCAGCGGGCUCAGCCAAUGAAGAAGCAUAGCGGGUGCCGAGGAAACGGUUGCCAUGACACCAGAAGCCGCUGGUCUCUGGAAAGGCUGGUCUGAGGGUGAGGGGCUGGGGAAGAGGGGUUGCUUGCUGAGUAACCAUGGCAACUCUGCAGCCUCAGGGCACCCGGGUGCUCACACCCAUUCCCCCUAGAAUACCCAGAAAAGGGCGAUCUCUGCCUUGACUCAGACUGGGAAACUGAGGUUCAUGAACACCUGUCACUUCCUUCUGCCUACUCUGGGUUACAGUCUUGGAAUAAAAACCCACACUUGCAGCAAGAGCCGCAAGCCCUAGUCACCUCCUGUGUCUGCCCCAGCCCAGGCCUGGCAAGGUGGCAGGAAAGGCACCAGACCUGGGGGAAGAGCAUGUUCAAAGGCUCUGAGAACAAGGCUGUGACCCAAGACUGACCCAGAGUGACAAUGACAUGAAGAUCAAGGUGCUGGAGGGCAGAGACUCUGCAGCUAACAGUAUGCAAAGCUCUUACAGAGACUCUGAGUUCAGAGUCCCAGCACUCGUGCUGGGCUGCUCACAACCGCCUGAGACUGGAGCUCUGGCCUUCACAUACCUGCCUCACAGACUGUAAAAAUAAAGUCAACUGAGGGCUAGA